CCAUACAUUACCGGCCAGAGGCAGAGAGCAGUGCCUUGUGGAGCCAGGAAGGGCCUACUGAUGGUCACAAAAAUGUCUUUCCACCUGGCGCCUGUGUGCUACUCUGACGGUGUUGUCUGAAUUAUGGACACAAGGCCCAAGUCUGCUUGAGUUUCCCUUGGAAAUUUUGGACUCCCUGGUGAUGACUCCAAGAUUCAUUAAAAAGAAUGGAAAUUUGGUAGUAGGGAGAGAUUUUACCUUGGAGGUGAUGCCUGCAAACAUUUCUAGCCAUUGCAGAGGCACCAGCACCCUGAGCAGCGCUGCCAAGCUCCUUCCGCCAGGACUAAACUCAGCAUCGCACCAACAAGCCACCGUCGCUUUGAACUGUCUGUGAGCGUCUGUGCUUGGUCUCCAUUUAUUUUGGUGUCAGAUAAGGUAAACUAUUAUAUGGCAAUGAAAAGAAAGACAAACCCAUGCUCCGUAAAUGAUGUUCAACUGUUGGGAUUAAUUUCUCAGCCGAACAGCAUCUUCAGGACAUCCCUGGGCGGAGAGACACAGAGAACACAAGAGAGUCGUUAUUUUUAAAGUUAACAAAGAAAAAAUGAUUUUGAAUCCUUGCUUAAUUAAAAAUGGAACAGUACAAGAGGGUGACUCACUUCUCCCGUAAGAAGCUGAAAAUUAAAA
RNAcentral lists this long non-coding RNA (663 nucleotides) under Equus asinus (donkey). RNAcentral describes it as "lncRNA (ENSEASG00005032230.1)". The record is from RNAcentral. Lineage: Eukaryota; Metazoa; Chordata; Mammalia; Perissodactyla; Equidae.